This 538-nucleotide ribosomal RNA is filed under the name uncultured bacterium. Its description in RNAcentral is "bacterial SSU rRNA". It matches the Rfam family "Bacterial small subunit ribosomal RNA", at positions 776 to 1329 of the family's 1533-position model. The record is from RNAcentral.
GAAUAGAUACCCCGGUAGUCCAUGCCGUAAACGAUGGAUGCUAGCUGUAUGAGGUAUCGACCCCCAUGUAGCGAAGCUAACGCGUUAAGCAUCCCGCCUGUGGAGUACGGUCGCAAGACUAAAACAUAAAGGAAUUGACGGGGACCCGCACAAGCGGUGGAGCGUGUUGUUUAAUUCGAUGAUAAGCGAAGAACCUUACCCAGGCUUGACAUCCUUGGAAUUUUUUCGAAAGAAAAAGUGCUUUUAGAGCCAAGUGACAGGUGUUGCAUGGUCGUCGUCAGCUCGUGUCGUGAGAUGUUUGGUUAAGUCCAUCAACGAGCGCAACCCUUGUGAUUAGUUGAAUUUUUCUAAUCAGACUGCCCUGGUAACAGGGAGGAAGGAGGGGAUGAUGUCAGAUCAGUAUUACCCUUACGUCUGGGGCUACAAACACGCUACAAUGGCCGGUACAAAGGGCAGCCAAGUCGCGAGACGGAGCAAAUCCCAUCAAAAGCCGGUCUCAGUUCGGAUAGCAGGCUGAAACUCGCCUGCUUGAAGUCGG